UUUUAUUCUACUGUGCUUGCCAGCAUGCCUGGAUGCAGAAAAGCAACCGUUUGGGUUGAUUCACAGCCCUCUAUUUUCUCUAGGGUGAACUUGUCACCAGACAGGGUCUGAGGAGGACCCCCUACUGAGGAGAUGGAGACAUCAACUCACUUCAGGCAAGUUCUUGACCUACUGUUGCAGGUAAAUA
This 187-nucleotide long non-coding RNA is filed under the name Chinchilla lanigera (long-tailed chinchilla). Its description in RNAcentral is "lncRNA (ENSCLAG00000023243.1)". Lineage: Eukaryota; Metazoa; Chordata; Mammalia; Rodentia; Chinchillidae. The record is from RNAcentral.